RNAcentral lists this transfer RNA (72 nucleotides) under Cryptomonas paramaecium. RNAcentral's name for it is "Cryptomonas paramecium tRNA-Tyr". It matches the Rfam family "tRNA". From Rfam's summary of the family: Transfer RNA (tRNA) molecules are approximately 80 nucleotides in length. Their secondary structure includes four short double-helical elements and three loops (D, anti-codon, and T loops). Further hydrogen bonds mediate the characteristic L-shaped molecular structure. tRNAs have two regions of fundamental functional importance: the anti-codon, which is responsible for specific mRNA codon recognition, and the 3' end, to which the tRNAs corresponding amino acid is attached (by aminoacyl-tRNA synthetases). tRNAs cope with the degeneracy of the genetic code in two manners: having more than one tRNA (with a specific anti-codon) for a particular amino acid; and 'wobble' base-pairing, i.e. permitting non-standard base-pairing at the 3rd anti-codon position. The record is from RNAcentral. Lineage: Eukaryota; Cryptophyceae; Cryptomonadales; Cryptomonadaceae.
CCAGCUUUAGCUCAGUGGUAGAGCAUCUGACUGUAAAUCAGAGUGUCGCUGGUUCAAAUCUAGCAAGCUGGA